RNAcentral lists this ribosomal RNA (386 nucleotides) under Mycale laevis. RNAcentral's name for it is "eukaryotic LSU rRNA". It matches the Rfam family "Eukaryotic large subunit ribosomal RNA", at positions 821 to 1207 of the family's 3401-position model. The record is from RNAcentral. Lineage: Eukaryota; Metazoa; Porifera; Demospongiae; Poecilosclerida; Mycalidae.
AGAUGGUGAACUAUGCCUGAAUAGGGCGAAGCCAGGGGAAACCCUGGUGGAAGCCCGCAGCGAUUCUGACGUGCAAAUCGAUCGUCAAAUUUGGGUAUAGGGGCGAAAGACUAAUCGAACCGUCUAGUAGCUGGUUCCCUCCGAAGUUUCCCUCAGGAUAGCUGGAGCCCGGUGCAGUUUUAUCAGGUAAAGCGAAUGAUUAGAGGUCUCGGGGUCGAAACGACCUCGACCUAUUCUCAAACUUUAAAUGGGUAAGAGGUCCGGCUUGCUCGAUUGAAGUCGGACGCGGAAUGCCGGGGCUCCUAGUGGGCCAUUUUUGGUAAGCAGAACUGGCGAUGUGGGAUGAACCGAAAGCCGGGUUAAGGUGCCCGAAUCGACGCUCAGCA